GGAGUCGGCCGGGCGGCCGCGUCGGGCCCCACGAGGGCCCGUCGAGGAAAGUCCGGACUCCACAGGGCAGGGUGGUUGCCAACAGCAACCCGGGGUGACCCGCGGGACAGUGCCACAGAGAACAGACCGCCACCGGCGCGAGCCGGUGGUGAGGGUGAAACGGUGGUGUAAGAGACCACCAGCGUCCUGGGUGACCAGGACGGCUCGGUAAACCCCACCCGGAGCAAGGUCAAGAAGGUUCCGCCGGAGACGGCGGAGCUGCGCAGGUCGUCCGAGGGCUGCCCGCCCGAGACCUGCGGGUAGACCGCUGGAGCCCGUCGGCGACGGCGGGCCGAGAUGGAUGGUCGCCGCCCGCGGACCCGCGAGGGACCGUGGGCACAGGAUCCGGCUUACAGGCCGACUCCUCCG
RNAcentral lists this RNase P RNA (408 nucleotides) under Actinomycetospora sp. TBRC 11914. RNAcentral describes it as "Bacterial RNase P class A". It matches the Rfam family "Bacterial RNase P class A". Rfam says of the family: Ribonuclease P (RNase P) is a ubiquitous endoribonuclease, found in archaea, bacteria and eukarya as well as chloroplasts and mitochondria. Its best characterised activity is the generation of mature 5'-ends of tRNAs by cleaving the 5'-leader elements of precursor-tRNAs. Cellular RNase Ps are ribonucleoproteins. Lineage: Bacteria; Bacillati; Actinomycetota; Actinomycetes; Pseudonocardiales; Pseudonocardiaceae. The record is from Rfam by way of RNAcentral.